AGAGUUUGAUCCUGGCUCAGAUUGAACGCUGGCGGCAGGCCUAACACAUGCAAGUCGGGCGGUAACAGGUCUUUCGGGAUGCUGACGAGCGGCGGACGGGUGAGUAAAGUCUAGGAAUCUGCCCAGUAGUGGGGGACAACGCGGGGAAACUCGCGCUAAUACCGCAUACGCCCUACGGGGGAAAGGUGCUUUAUUGUACCGCUAUUGGAUGAGCCUAGAUCAGAUUAGCUAGUUGGUGGGGUAAAGGCCCACCAAGGCGACGAUCUGUAGCUGGUCUGAGAGGAUGAUCAGCCACACUGGGACUGAGACACGGCCCAGACUCCUAUCGGGAGGCAGCAGUGGGGAAUAUUGGACAAUGGGGGAAACCCUGAUCCAGCCAUGCCGCGUGUGUGAAGAAGGUCUUCGGAUUGUAAAGCACUUUAAGUUGGGGGGAAGGGGUGAAGUAACGACUCACCUUUGACGUUACCAACAGAAUAAGCACCGGCUAACUUCGUGCCAGCAGCCGCGGUAAUACGAAGGGUGCAAGCGUUAAUCGGAAUAACUGGGCGUAAAGCGCGCGUAGGUGGUUUGUCAAGUUGGAUGUGAAAUCCCCGGGCUCAACCUGGGAACUGCAUCCAAAACUGACUGACUAGAGUACAGUAGAGGUUAGUGGAAUUUCCUGUGUAGCGGUGAAAUGCGUAGAUAUAGGAAGGAACACCAGUGGCGAAGGCGACUAACUGGACUGAUACUGACACUGAGGUGCGAAAGCGUGGGGAGCAAACAGGAUUAGAUACCCUGGUAGUCCACGCUGUAAACGAUGUCAACUAGCCGUUGGGACCCUUGAGGUUUUAGUGGCGCAGCUAACGCAAUAAGUUGACCGCCUGGGGAGUACGGUCGCAAGAUUAAAACUCAAAUGAAUUGACGGGGGCCCGCACAAGCGGUGGAGCAUGUGGUUUAAUUCGAUGCAACGCGAAGAACCUUACCUACUCUUGACAUCCAGAGAAUUUGCUAGAAGAUAGCUUAGUGCCUUCGGGAACUCUGAGACAGGUGCUGCAUGGCUGUCGUCAGCUCGUGUUGUGAAAUGUUGGGUUAAGUCCCGCAACGAGCGCAACCCUUAUCCUUUGUUGCCAGCGCGUAAUGGCGGGAACUCAAAGGAGACUGCCGGUGAUAAACCGGAGGAAGGUGGGGAUGACGUCAAUUCAUCAUGGCCCUUACGAGUAGGGCUACACACGUGCUACAAUGGCAUAUACAAAGGGAAGCAAACUCGCGAGAGCCAGCGGACCUCAUAAGUAUGUCGUAGUCCGGAUCGGAGUCUGCAACUCGACUCCGUGAAGUCGGAAUCGCUAGUAAUCGUAGAUCAGAAUGCUACGGUGAAUACGUUCCCGGGCCUUGUACACACCGCCCGUCACACCAUGGGAGUGGGUUGCAAAAGAAGUAGGUAGCUUAACCUUCGGGAGGGCGCUUACCACUUUGUGAUUCAUGACUGGGGUGAAGUCGUAACAAGGUAACC
Molecule: ribosomal RNA, 1489 nt
Filed under: uncultured bacterium
Lineage: Bacteria
Description: bacterial SSU rRNA
Rfam family: Bacterial small subunit ribosomal RNA
Source: RNAcentral